AAUACAUGCAAGUCGUACGAGCUUCCGUUGAAUGACGUGCUUGCACUGAUUUUAACAAUGAAGCGAGUGGCGAACUGGUGAGUAACACGUGGGAAAUCUGCCCAGAAGCAGGGGAUAACACUUGGAAACAGGUGCUAAUACCGUAUAACAACAAAAUCCGCAUGGAUUUUGUUUGAAAGGUGGCUUCGGCUAUCACUUCUGGAUGAUCCCGCGGCGUAUUAGUUAGUUGGUGAGGUAAAGGCCCACCAAGACGAUGAUACGUAGCCGACCUGAGAGGGUAAUCGGCCACAUUGGGACUGAGACACGGCCCAAACUCCUACGGGAGGCAGCAGUAGGGAAUCUUCCACAAUGGACGAAAGUCUGAUGGAGCAAUGCCGCGUGAGUGAAGAAGGGUUUCGGCUCGUAAAACUCUGUUGUUAAAGAAGAACACCUUUGAGAGUAACUGUUCAAGGGUUGACGGUAUUUAACCAGAAAGCCACGGCUAACUACGUGCCAGCAGCCGCGGUAAUACGUAGGUGGCAAGCGUUGUCCGGAUUUAUUGGGCGUAAAGCGAGCGCAGGCGGUUUUUUAAGUCUGAUGUGAAAGCCUUCGGCUUAACCGGAGAAGUGCAUCG
This 613-nucleotide ribosomal RNA is filed under the name Levilactobacillus brevis. Its description in RNAcentral is "bacterial SSU rRNA". It matches the Rfam family "Bacterial small subunit ribosomal RNA", at positions 50 to 628 of the family's 1533-position model. Lineage: Bacteria; Bacillati; Bacillota; Bacilli; Lactobacillales; Lactobacillaceae. The record is from RNAcentral.